UACAGAGGUCUCAAGCGUUGUUCGGAUUCAUUGGGCGUAAAGGGUGCGUAGGCGGCGCGGUAAGUCGGGUGUGAAAUCUCGGGGCUUAACUCCGAAACUGCAUUCGAUACUGCCGUGCUUGAGGACUGGAGAGGAGACUGGAAUUUACGGUGUAGCGGUGGAAUGCGUAGAUAUCGUAAGGAAGACCAGUGGCGAAGGCGGGUCUCUGGACAGUUCCUGACGCUGAGGCACGAAGGCCAGGGGAGCAAACGGG
RNAcentral lists this ribosomal RNA (253 nucleotides) under uncultured bacterium. RNAcentral describes it as "partial 16S ribosomal RNA". It matches the Rfam family "Bacterial small subunit ribosomal RNA", at positions 524 to 776 of the family's 1533-position model. The record is from RNAcentral.